Vicia villosa (hairy vetch) is the source of this 733-nucleotide long non-coding RNA. RefSeq lists it as uncharacterized. The record is from RefSeq and is a predicted model, not a curated record. NCBI's taxonomy places the organism in Eukaryota, Viridiplantae, Streptophyta, Magnoliopsida, Fabales, Fabaceae. The transcript is spliced from 3 exons.
UUACAUAUGUUUUGCAGAGUACAAUUCUUGUCAGCAUUGAGAUGGCGCAGUUUUCUCAUGUCUCAAACUAUGUUAGCAAGGCAUAACUAGGAACAAAUGCAAUUUAGGAAAUGAAAAACUCAAGAGUAUUGAAGAUACUUUGAGUGCUGCCAGACUAAACUAUCAUAUCAAAACAGAUUUUGUGGUGGAACUAAAAUUGAUAUCUUGGGCAAAAAUGUUGUUGAGAAGUAUAGUAAGGACAAAGGUAGGCGUUGAAGGUUGGCAUUGACUCAUGUUUUCCCUCAGUUAAUCUAAGGAAACAAGUAAACCAAACCAAAACAAGGGUCUACACAUGCUGUGUGUUCCAUCGUUACAUGGGGAGUUUAAGAAUAUUGGGAACGAAGUGUGCUUUUGAACGAACAUAUCAACUAUAAGAGCUAAUCAAUGACGUAUUAGAGGCAACGACAAUUUGAGAAAAUGAUCUCAUUUUCUAAAUUCUCUCUCUGCUUCACCUCUCUCUGUGCAGAAAAUCAAAUUGGAGGCAAGGAAAGUGUACUUUAUCAAAAAGUUGUCCCAAAAAGCACAAACUCAUUCCACAAAUUUGUGAUAUAUUCCUACACAAAGUUUACAAUUAAUUUCUAAAUGUCUGGUAAUUAUGUAUUUAUUACUAAAUGUUAAGCUAUGGUAUAUAUUCUUUUUCAUGACAGUCUAUUUGCAAUUGCAAUAAGUGUUGUUCCAUGUUUUAGUUUUUGUU